GAGGUACAGCGUAGUUUUGUCCUCCGCGAAGUCCCUCAGGCUCAGAGCACAGCCGUGUAAUUGUCUGCGUCUCUCCCGCGCUCAAUCAGGGGCUUGCUUUGGAACCCCGGUGCCUGCUAGUGUUCUGCAUACAGUGAGCAUCCAAAAAAUGGUAACUUGUUUACUUUUACUGAACAAAUUGUUUUUCUUAUGUCCAGUCUAAUGCUGGGCAACCAUGGAAUGAACCACGAAGAUAAGUAUCUCAUGGGCUUUUUCUUCUGGGAGCUCAGGCCAGCUGGGGCCAUUACAACUUAAAACUUGGGCGAUCCAGAAGUAAUACGAAACAUUUGUGAAAUAUUUUCUGUAUGAAACUUUCUAAGAAUUAUCUCAACUUCAAUAGGUUGAGUAGGGAGAGAGCAUCCCAGAUAGAGGAAAUGGGAGAAUCCUAAAGGAGGGUGAGAAAGCUCCAGCCGUGCCUGGGGCUCACAGGUUGUUUGUAACUGUGGUGGUUAAAGUAGCCAAGAGGCAGGUUGCAGUGGCCCCAAAAUGCCAGCCUAGGGAGUUCAGAUUUUCUUCAUCUUGCGGGAUGGAUUAAAAGGGCAGCAUUUGCAGUCAAGAACAUUAGGCCAGGGCAAGCUAGGGUUGCACAUUCAGACCCAGUUUUGUGCCUUUCGCCCUCCUCUAGCCUCCUCCUGGGCUCUCUGGCAGUAAGACCAGCUGCAAACAUGGAUCCUUACAAGUGACUCAGCUGGGAUCCCUGGCCCCUCUGAACAGAAGGCUCAAGGCCAGAGUGUAAGCAGUGUUUUAUGCAAACUGCGGCUGUCACCGCCGCCAGCUGGCAUCAUGCAGGCAUUAGUUCAUUCAGUGCUUACCAAGCACCUACAAUGGUACCCAUCACUGCCCAAGGUCUUGGCUUUAUUCAGUCCUCAGGCUUGUAUUGCAUGCACUUUCUAUGCCUUUUGAAAGAGCCUGUCCUCACACCCUUCUCUCUCAGAGGCAAGAGAUCUAUUUUCAUCACCACCCUCAUUUAAGUCUCCCAGCUACCAAGGCCAAGGUUUGGAGCAACAGCCUAAAACACCAGCUGGAAGGCUGGGCACUAUGCACAGGCAACACACAGGGUAAAGAGCGUGUCUUCUUUGUAAGGCACAAGUACUCGAGCUGUUCCCUGGCUGUGUCCCUGGCAGGGAGAAGAGGGAGGAUGUGUUCAUGGGGGUGUACAGUAUGCCUUACCUUGCUGUACCCAGCAGGGUUGAGCAGAAAACGCUUCGUCCCAGUGCAGCAAUCUGUGAACACUCUUAACCAGCAGGUGUGUGUCUGUGUGUGUGUAUGUGUGGGAGGAGCGAAUGAUGAGGAGGAAGGGACUCUUGGAAGGUGACUAAGGGCUCCAGCUGGAGCUCUCCAGAGUCUCCCAGAUACAUGGAGAUCAAGUCUUGUCAAGGUGAAAUCUUCACCAUUGGGCAGGGGGCA
RNAcentral lists this long non-coding RNA (1446 nucleotides) under Homo sapiens (human). RNAcentral describes it as "HSALNT0401298". Lineage: Eukaryota; Metazoa; Chordata; Mammalia; Primates; Hominidae. The record is from RNAcentral.